GAAACUAUCUAGAGAGUUAAGCUCAAGUUAAUUUCACAUGCAGAAGGGGGUCAGCUUUGGUGUACAACUACGAAGGCCAUCUCUGAGGGUGAAGAGCUAAUUGCCUUUGUGGUGGAUUUUGACUCAAGGCUACAAGCUGCCAGUCAGAUGACUCUCACAGAAGGGAUGUACCCUGCACGCCUGCUGGACUCAAUUCAGCUGCUUCCUCAGCAAGCUGCCAUGGCUUCUAUUUUGCCCACAGCUAUUGUCAAUAAAUGACACUUCAUAUGACACAAAAUCAGUCGUCUGGAGUCCCAAGAUCUGUGUUCUAGCCAUAUCUGAUUUUAUCUAGCUCUAUGAAAACACAUGAGUAGCAGACACAUCUUAAGAGGAGAAUAGAUUCUGAAGUUAGUAGAAAUAUCAGAUUCCACAUGUCUAACGUGAACAUGUGCCACUGUUUGCCUGGCUUAGUCCCAUUGUACAUUUUUAUCUGGCAUCCCUCUGGAUGGUGACUUCUUUCCUCUAUGAAAGUCCUGAGUUUGCACAAUACAAGAGGAUAUAUUCCCUUGCAAGUCCUGUGGCAUCUGGUAUCGGAGUGAGCGGAAUCUGCAGGCCCAUUUGAUGUACUACUGCAGUGGGAGGCAAAGAGAAGCUGCUCCGGUGUCAGAGGAAAAUGAAGACAGUGCCCAUCAGAUUUCCAGCCUGUGCCCCUUCCCACAGUGCACCAAGAGCUUUUCAAAUGCUCGAGCUCUAGAAAUGCACCUGAAUUCACACAGUGGAGUGAAAAUGGAAGAAUUCCUGCCCCCUGGUGCUAGUCUAAAAUGCACCGUCUGUAGCUACACUGCUGAUUCCGUGAUCAACUUUCACCAACACCUGUUCUCCCAUCUCACUCAAGCUGCCUUCCGAUGUAAUCACUGCCAUUUCGGCUUCCAGACUCAGAGGGAGUUAUUGCAGCACCAGGAGCUCCAUGUCCCUAGCAGCAAACUUCCCAGAGAAAGUGACAUGGAACACUCUCCAAGUGGAACCGAAGACAGCUUACAGCCAGCCACAGACUUAUUGACCAGAAGCGAACUUCCCCAGAGCCAAAAGGCCAUGCAGACUAAAGAUGCGAGCUCUGACACAGAGCUGGACAAGUGUGAGAAAAAGACUCAGCUCUUUCUCACGAACCAGAGACCGGAGAUACAGCCUACAACAAAUAAACAAAGCUUUUCUUACACAAAAAUAAAGUCUGAGCCCUCUAGUCCAAGACUUGCCUCAUCUCCAGUUCAGCCUAAUAUUGGGCCUUCUUUCCCUGUGGGCCCUUUCCUAUCUCAGUUUUCUUUCCCCCAAGAUAUCACCAUGGUCCCUCAAGCUUCAGAGAUCUUAGCUAAGAUGUCUGAACUGGUGCAUCGGCGACUGAGGCAUGGCAGUAGUAGCUACCCUCCCGUCAUUUACAGCCCUUUGAUGCCCAAGGGGGCUACUUGUUUUGAGUGUAACAUAACAUUCAAUAAUUUGGAUAAUUAUCUAGUGCACAAAAAGCAUUAUUGCAGCAGCCGAUGGCAGCAGAUGGCUAAGUCCCCAGAGUUCCCUAGUGUGUCAGAAAAGAUGCCUGAAGCUUUGAGUCCCAACACUGGCCAAACCUCCAUAAACCUUCUCAACCCAGCUGCUCAUUCUGCUGAUCCUGAGAAUCCACUUCUUCAAACAUCUUGCAUCAAUUCUUCCACUGUCUUAGAUUUAAUUGGGCCAAAUGGGAAGGGCCAUGACAAGGACUUUUCCACUCAAACUAAGAAGCUCUCCACCUCCAGUAACAAUGAUGAGAAAAUUAAUGGAAAACCUGUUGAUGUGAAAAAUCCCAGUGUCCCCUUAGUGGAUGGGGAAAGUGACCCAAAUAAGACUACCUGUGAAGCUUGCAACAUUACCUUCAGCCGGCACGAAACAUACAUGGUCCACAAGCAGUAUUACUGUGCUACACGCCACGACCCUCCACUGAAGAGGUCUGCUUCCAACAAAGUGCCUGCCAUGCAGAGAACCAUGCGCACACGCAAGCGCAGAAAGAUGUAUGAGAUGUGCCUACCUGAGCAGGAACAAAGGCCUCCACUGGUUCAGCAGAGAUUUCUUGACGUAGCCAACCUCAGUAAUCCUUGUACCUCCACUCAAGAACCCACAGAAGGGCUAGGAGAGUGCUACCACCCAAGAUGUGAUAUCUUUCCAGGAAUUGUCUCUAAACACUUGGAAACUUCUCUGACGAUCAACAAGUGUGUUCCAGUUUCCAAAUGUGACACUACUCAUUCCAGUGUUUCCUGCCUAGAGAUGGACGUGCCCAUAGAUCUCAGCAAAAAGUGUUUAUCUCAGUCUGAGCGGACGACCACGUCUCCCAAAAGGCUGCUGGACUAUCACGAGUGCACUGUGUGCAAGAUCAGUUUCAAUAAGGUAGAAAACUAUCUGGCCCACAAGCAGAAUUUCUGCCCGGUUACUGCACAUCAGCGUAAUGACCUGGGUCAACUGGACGGCAAAGUGUUUCCGAAUCCAGAAAGCGAACGAAACAGCCCUGAUGUCAGCUACGAAAGAAGCAUAAUAAAAUGUGAGAAAAAUGGGAAUUUGAAGCAGCCUUCCCCUAAUGGAAACUUAUUUUCAUCCCACCUAGCAACUCUGCAAGGCUUGAAGGUCUUUAGUGAAGCCGCUCAGCUCAUUGCUACAAAAGAAGAAAACAGACAUUUGUUUCUUCCACAAUGCCUUUACCCUGGAGCAAUAAAGAAAGCAAAAGGAGCCGACCAGCUUUCUCCAUAUUAUGGAAUCAAGCCAAGUGAUUAUAUUUCUGGUUCUCUUGUCAUCCAUAACACUGACAUCGAGCAAAGCAGAAAUGCAGAAAAUGAAUCUCCUAAAGGCCAGGCUUCCUCAAAUGGGUGUGCUGCGCUGAAGAAAGAUUCUCUGCCAUUGUUGCCCAAAAAUCGAGGAAUGGUAAUAGUGAAUGGUGGACUGAAACAAGAUGAGAGACCUGCUGCCAACCCACAGCAAGAGAACAUUUCCCAGAAUCCUCAGCAUGAAGACGACCACAAAUCUCCCUCGUGGAUCUCUGAGAACCCAUUAGCUGCCAAUGAGAAUGUCUCACCAGGAAUUCCCUCAGCAGAGGAACAGUUGUCUAGUAUAGCAAAAGGUGUGAAUGGUUCCAGCCAGGCUCCAACCAGUGGGAAAUAUUGCCGGCUGUGUGAUAUCCAGUUCAACAACCUUUCAAACUUUAUAACUCACAAGAAGUUUUAUUGCUCAUCACAUGCAGCAGAACAUGUCAAAUGAACUAACUAAACAUCAGUCACCUUUGGUAUCAGUGUUUAGUAUGUUGUUCUAACCAGUCCAGA
This 3311-nucleotide small RNA is filed under the name Pan troglodytes (chimpanzee). Its description in RNAcentral is "processed transcript". Lineage: Eukaryota; Metazoa; Chordata; Mammalia; Primates; Hominidae. The record is from RNAcentral.